RNAcentral lists this long non-coding RNA (320 nucleotides) under Elaeis guineensis (African oil palm). Its description in RNAcentral is "long non-coding RNA (EGUI_LNC081185)". The record is from RNAcentral. Lineage: Eukaryota; Viridiplantae; Streptophyta; Magnoliopsida; Arecales; Arecaceae.
AUGAUAAUGCGCACCGGGAAGCCCUCGCGGUCGAAGAUGUGGCAUAAGUGUGGGCUCUAGGCCAUCAAGGCGAAACACGGUCAGAUCUGUCUCUUCUAUCCUCACCUUCUUUGCCAACCUGGAAGUUGCAGCAUCUUCCCGCUCGUGGGCUUUCAGGCUCUGGGCUAAUAUCAGAGCCGCAUCCACACCCAUAUCUGCAACGAAGGAAGACCAACACAGUCUACAAAUGGGGCCGCGGAGGCAGAGAAGGUUUUGAGGCUAACCCAAGCUAGUCUGAGGGAUGCGGGGGUACAGAGAUGAGGGUGACUCAACGGAUGCCU